This 861-nucleotide ribosomal RNA is filed under the name uncultured bacterium. RNAcentral's name for it is "bacterial SSU rRNA". It matches the Rfam family "Bacterial small subunit ribosomal RNA", at positions 43 to 916 of the family's 1533-position model. The record is from RNAcentral.
CAGGCCUAACACAUGCAAGUCAAGGGGGCCCUUCAAGGGCAACCGGCGAACGGGUGCGUAACACGUGAGCGACCUGCCCGCUUGUGGGGGAUAGCCGGCCCAACGGCCGGGUAAUACCGCAUACGCUUUGGCCCCGGCAUCGGGGCCUUCGGAAAGAUUUAUCGCAGGCGGAGGGGCUCGCGGCCUAUCAGCUAGUUGGCGAGGUAACGGCUCACCAAGGCGACGACGGGUAGCUGGUCUGAGAGGAUGGCCAGCCACAUUGGGACUGAGAGACGGCCCAGACUCCUACGGGAGGCAGCAGUGGGGAAUCUUGCGCAAUGGGCGAAAGCCUGACGCAGCGACGCCGCGUGGGGGAGGAAGGGCUUCGGCUUGUAAACCCCUGUUGCUCGGGACGAUCCCUGGCAUUGGCCAGGUUGACGGUACCGAGUGAGGAAGCACCGGCUAACUCCGUGCCUGCAGCCGCGGUAAUACGGAGGGUGCGAGCGUUGUCCGGAAUCACUGGGCGUAAAGGGCGCGUAGGUGGUAACCUAAGCGUGUGGUGAAAGCCCGGGGCUCAACCUCGGGUCGGCCAUGCGAUCUGGGUCACUUGAGCACUGUAGAGGCAGGUGGAAUUCCGGGUGUAUCGGUGGAAUGCGUAGAGAUCUGGAAGAACACCGGUUGCGAAUGCGGCCUGCUGGGCAGUUGCUGACACUGAGGCGCGACAGCGUGGGGAGCAAACAGGAUUAGAUACCCUGGUAGUCCACGCCGUAAACGAUGGGCACUAGGUGCUUCGGGGAGCGACCCUCGGAGUGCCGGCGCUAACGCAUUAAGUGCCCCGCCUGUGGAGUACUGUCGUAUGCUGAAUCUCAAAGGAAUUGACUG